GCAUAUCAAAUAAGCGGAGGAAAAGAAACUAACAAGGAUUCCCCUAGUAACGGCGAGUGAAGCGGGAAGAGCUCAAAUUUGAAAUCUGGCAGUCUUCGAUUGUCCGAGUUGUAAUCUAUAGAGGCGUUUUCCGUGCCGGACCGUGUCCAAGUCUCCUGGAAAGGAGUAUCAAAGAGGGUGAUAAUCCCGUACUUAACACGACCACCGGUGCUCUGUGAUACGUCUUCUACGAGUCGAGUUGUUUGGGAAUGCAGCUCAAAAUGGGUGGUGAAUUCCAUCUAAAGCUAAAUAUUGGCGAGAGACCGAUAGCGAACAAGUACCGUGAGGGAAAGAUGAAAAGCACUUUGGAAAGAGAGUUAAACAGUACGUGAAAUUGUUGAAAGGGAAACGAUUGAAGUCAGUCGUGUUCUUUGGAUUCAGCCAGUUCUGCUGGUCUACUUCCUUGGAACGGGUCAACAUCAGUUUUGUCCGGUGGAUAAAGGUAGUAGGAAUGUGACUUCUCCGGAAGUGUUAUAGCCUAUUAUCACAUACACUGGGUGAGACUGAGGACUGCAGCUCGCCUUUAUGGCCGGCCUUCGGGCACGUUCGAGCUUAGGAUGUUGACAUAAUGGCUUUAAACGACCCGUCUUGAAACCACGG
RNAcentral lists this ribosomal RNA (639 nucleotides) under Trichosporon asahii. RNAcentral describes it as "eukaryotic LSU rRNA". It matches the Rfam family "Eukaryotic large subunit ribosomal RNA", at positions 38 to 664 of the family's 3401-position model. The record is from RNAcentral. Lineage: Eukaryota; Fungi; Basidiomycota; Tremellomycetes; Trichosporonales; Trichosporonaceae.